RNAcentral lists this ribosomal RNA (253 nucleotides) under uncultured bacterium. RNAcentral describes it as "partial 16S ribosomal RNA". It matches the Rfam family "Bacterial small subunit ribosomal RNA", at positions 524 to 776 of the family's 1533-position model. The record is from RNAcentral.
UACGUAGGGUGCAAGCGUUAAUCGGAAUUACUGGGCGUAAAGCGUGCGCAGGCGGUUGUGCAAGUCAGAUGUGAAAUCCCCGGGCUUAACCUGGGAACUGCCUUUGUGACUGCACGGCUAGAGUGUGGCAGAGGGGGGUAGAAUUCCACGUGUAGCAGUGAAAUGCGUAGAGAUGUGGAGGAAUACCGAUGGCGAAGGCAGCCCCCUGGGAUAACACUGACGCUCAUGCACGAAAGCGUGGGGAGCAAACAGG